CAGCCGCCGCGGUAAUACGUAGGUGGCAAGCGUUGUCCGGAAUUAUUGGGCGUAAAGGGCUCGCAGGCGGUUUCUUAAGUCUGAUGUGAAAGCCCCCGGCUCAACCGGGGAGGGUCACUGGAAACUGGGAAACUUGAGUGCAGAAGAGGAGAGUGGAAUUCCACGUGUAGCGGUGAAAUGCGUAGAGAUGUGGAGGAACACCAGUGGCGAAGGCGAUUCUCUGGUCUGUAACUGACGCUGAGGAGCGAAAGCGUGGGGAGCGAACAGGAUUAGAUACCCGCGUAGUCCCUGUCUCUUAUAC
This 301-nucleotide ribosomal RNA is filed under the name uncultured bacterium. Its description in RNAcentral is "partial 16S ribosomal RNA". It matches the Rfam family "Bacterial small subunit ribosomal RNA", at positions 509 to 807 of the family's 1533-position model. The record is from RNAcentral.